RNAcentral lists this ribosomal RNA (269 nucleotides) under uncultured Planctomycetales bacterium. RNAcentral's name for it is "partial 16S ribosomal RNA". It matches the Rfam family "Bacterial small subunit ribosomal RNA", at positions 565 to 832 of the family's 1533-position model. Lineage: Bacteria; Pseudomonadati; Planctomycetota; Planctomycetia; Planctomycetales. The record is from RNAcentral.
GAGCACGUAGGUGGGUUUGUAAGUCAGAUGUGAAAGCCUUCUGUUCAACGGAAGAAUUGCAUCUGAAACUGCGAGUCUUGAGUGUAGGAGGGGAGAAUGGAACUUCUGGUGAAGCGGUGAAAUGCGUAGAUAUCAGAAGGAACUCCGGCGGCGAAAGCGAUUCUCUGGCCUAUUACUGACACUCAGUGUGCGAAAGCUAGGGGAGCAAACGGGAUUAGAUACCCCGGUAGUCCUAGCCGUAAACGAUGGGCACUAAGUAGAGGGGUUUU